RNAcentral lists this ribosomal RNA (465 nucleotides) under uncultured bacterium. Its description in RNAcentral is "partial 16S ribosomal RNA". It matches the Rfam family "Bacterial small subunit ribosomal RNA", at positions 28 to 507 of the family's 1533-position model. The record is from RNAcentral.
GACGAACGCUGGCGGCGUGCUUAACACAUGCAAGUCGAACGGAAAGGCCCUGCUUGCAGGGUACUCGAGUGGCGAACGGGUGAGUAACACGUUGGUGAUCUGCCCUGCACUUCGGGAUAAGCCUGGGAAACUGGGUCUAAUACCGGAUAGGAGCCAUUUUUAGUGUGAUGGUUGGAAAGUUUUUUCGGUGUAGGAUGAGCUCGCGGCCUAUCAGCUUGUUGGUGGGGUAAUGGCCUACCAAGGCGGCGACGGGUAGCCGGCCUGGGAGGGUGGCCGGCCACAUUGGGACUGAGAUACGGCCCAGACUCCUACGGGAGGCAGCAGUGGGGAAUAGUGCAAAAUGGGCGCAAGCCUGAUGCAGCGACGCCGCGUGGGGGAUGACGGCCUUCGGGUUGUAAUCUCAUUUCGCUAGGGACGAAGCUGUUUGUGACGGUACCUAGAUAAGAAGCACCGGCUAACUACGUG